CCCUUAGAUGUCCUGGGCCGCACACGCGUUACACUGAUGCAUUCAACGAGCUUAUAACCUUGGCCGAGAGGCCUGGGCAAUCUUGUUAACGUGCAUCGUGAUAGGGAUAGAUUAUUGAAAUUAUUAAUCUUGAACGAGGAAUUCCUAGUAAACGCAGAUCAUCAAUCUGCAUUGAUUACGUCCCUGCCCUUUGUACACACCGCCCGUCGCACCUACCGAUUGGAUGGUCCGGUGAAGCCUCGGGAUUGUGGUUCUUGCCGCUUUAUUGUAGCGUGACCGCGAGAACUUGUCUAAACCUUAUCAUCUAGAGGAAGGUGAAGUCGUAACA
This 328-nucleotide ribosomal RNA is filed under the name uncultured eukaryote. RNAcentral's name for it is "partial 18S ribosomal RNA". It matches the Rfam family "Eukaryotic small subunit ribosomal RNA", at positions 1470 to 1796 of the family's 1831-position model. The record is from RNAcentral.